This 18210-nucleotide long non-coding RNA is filed under the name Lactuca sativa (garden lettuce). RNAcentral's name for it is "long non-coding RNA (LSAT_LNC002396)". The record is from RNAcentral. Lineage: Eukaryota; Viridiplantae; Streptophyta; Magnoliopsida; Asterales; Asteraceae.
GUCAUUGUCAAUACAGAUCAAAAGCAUAAACAAAAACAACAUAGGACUUACAACAUUUAUUUCUUUCUACUGGCAUAUAAUCCAUAAUCUCUCAUCUGAUCAUCACAUAUAUGCUCUUGUGCCACUACGUGUAAUUAGGGGUGUUCGUUUGGAUGAAUCAAUUUAAUCUGAUCCAAUAAAGUCAAUCCAAAUUGACUUCGGUUUUCAAAACAUGGAUCCGAAUAAUCUAAACUAAAUUCAAAUCUGAUCUGAUCCGAUCCAAUUACAAUUCGGUUGGAUCGUUUUUUAAAAUUCGGUUUUCAAAAGCCGAAACAUUUUAAAACGGUAUAUAAUGAUAGUAUUACCCAAUUUUACACAAGAAGCAAAAACAAAUUAUUUAGUUUUGAUUUGAAAUUUAUAAACAAAUAAUAAGAAGAUAUAUUAUAGUUAAAUAUUUUUAGAUAGAAAAAUUUUCAUAGAAAAUGUGUAGUACUGUUUUUUUUUUGGUGAAACAUUUUGAACCUAUUUGAAAACAUAAAUUACAAAAUUAAUAAAUAGCUAUAUAUAUAUAUUAUAAAUAGAUAAUUUAUAAAUGUUUAUUCGGUUUUUUGGACUAUUCGGUUCUGUUUUAUAAACCAAAACCAAUCCAAAAUAAUAAUUCGGUUUUGUUGAAAACCAAUCCAAAAAUCCGAAUAUCUGAACCAAAUAGUCCAAUCCAAAUUGUCCAAUUGGAUAAUUUGGUUUCAUUCGAAUAGUGAACAACCCUACCCAUGACCCGUUGACCGACCUCGCCCCAACAAAUCGGGGUCCAACACUUCCUCACGUAGAUCAUCUUAAAAGGAGGUCGAUCAAUAUUGGCGUGAUAGUUGUUGUUGUAAAAAAACUUUGCCAAAGGAAUAUACGUAUUCCAGCUCCCACUAAAGUCCAUCACACAUGCCCGAAGCAUGUCCUCCAAAGUCUGGACAGUCGGCUCACUCUGACCAUCAGUCUGUGGAUGNUAUAUUAUAAAUAAAUAAAUAAUAUAUGUUUAUUUGGUUUUUUUGGACUAUUCGGUUCUUAUUUCAUAAACCAAUCCGAAAUCCAAAAUAAUAAUUCGGUUUUGUUGAAAACCAAUCCAAAAAUCCAAACCAAAUAGUCCAAUCCGAUAAUUCGGUUUUAUCCGAAUAGUGAACAAGCCUACCUGUAAUACAAGAAACUGAGUGGGUCAGGCUUGGGGGCCUGGUGAACACAUAGGGUUUUCAACUCACAAUAAUUAAGUUUAUUAAUUUCAUCAAAUCAAUCAACCCGAUUAUUGGUUCCCGUUAUCCUCACUUUCUGUCCCUAAAGCAUCUAAUUCAAGGGACCUAGCUUAAGGAUUUUCAUCGGGAUAAACAAUACUGCUAAGGGUAUUCCUCAAUAAUAUAUGUCUGUAAGGCAACCACUAGACUGUCUAGAAUAGUCUGUGGUCGUCAUCUAUACUCCACUAGAUGAAUGAAUCAACCUAAACACCGAGGUCUCUCAUCAUUUUAUUUCAUCACACAUCAUCUAUUUCAUAUACCCAUCGUCUCCCAACAUAUUUGUAUAUAUAAAAUAGAUACACAGUUUAAGUAAAAGCAUGUAUAAAUCGUUCAUCCAGCAUAAAUAUCAAGAACAUAGAUAAUAUGCACACAUAACACAUAAUUUAUAUUAGAUACUUCAUAUGUAUGUGUAAGAUGAAAGUAAUUAUGCACUCACUUGUUAAAGUGAUGACUCCAAACUCGGGCAGCGCUUCGCUUCUAACAAUUUUAUUUUCCUUCGACAAAACCUAAUAUCAUUAUUACCAUAUUUUAGUCUAAUAUUUAUUGCGUCUAAUUAUUAACUCAAGGUCUACGAGCAAUGUUGGUUUUUCUUGUAUUAUAUAAGUGUUAAACAAUAUUUUUCAACUACUAUGUAUAGAUAGGGGCCAUACAUGAAACAUCGGAGGGCAAGACCAUUUUAGCAAUUAAGCUGUUCUAAAAUCCAACAACUCAAGCGGCCCUUCAAACCAGAUUCCCCAUACAAUGAGUAGUUAAAAGGUAAUAUAAUAGCAUUUAUAAUAUUUACCACAUGUAUUCUCUAUCAAAAAUAUUGUUUAUAGGUUCAUAAUAACGAUAAUGAACUUAAACAUAAGUUAUACUUAGAGUAGGGUAAACAUAACUCACUUACAAUAGGGUUUUAACUAGGAGCCACGCUCUACAGUGUGACAUCCCCAAAAUCACGGCCAGAAAAGACCGAUUUUGUUUAUGCUUUAUAAAAAUCAGAGUACUUCAUUUUAUAAAAAUGUUGCGGAAUUUGUUCCCAGAAAAACACGAUAAAUACGUUAUUAAAACAUUUUCGAAGAAACGUAUUUAUUUCAUUUUAAAACGUUUGGGAUGUCAUUGUUAAUACAGAAACAUAAGCAUAAACAGAACUUACAAUUAUUUACACUAGUGAUCUACAUCUCUUUAAAUCUCUCAGUGUAAUGUCACUUCAUAUCGUCACCUGUGAUGUAAAUAAACUGAGUGGGUCAGGUUGGGAAACCUGGUGAGUACAUAGGGUUUUCAACCCACAAUAAUAUAGUUAUUAUGUUUAAACAAUCAAACAAUCAACCUAAUUACCCAUCCCCGUUAUCUUCUUUUAGUCUUCCCUAAAGAUAUUAUCUCAAGGGUCAUCUCUUAUAUCGUAUUUACUUUUCAUCUCCUUACAUCGUAUUUCCUUAUAUGAUUGUUCUUACGAACUUUACCUAAGGAUCAUCGCCUACAUUGCAUAGACAAUACUAAUCCGGGGAUUACUCCCUCAAUAUGUGUCUAGCAAGAGUUAGGGUAUCAUCGCAUGAUUACGCAGCCACAACAUCGCCUGGACUUGUAAAUCAUGAUAAGGGUUAGUCUAUCAUCGCAUGAAUACGUAGCCACAACAUCGCCUGGACUCGUACUUCAUAAUAAGGGUUAGACUAUCAUCGCAUGAAUACGUAGUUACAACAUCGCCUGAACUCGUAAUUCAUCACCUACAGGUUGCUAGCCUGCUGGUGUUUCCACGGGGUUGUCUAUAAUAGUCCGUGGUCGCCAUCUAUACUCUGGUAGAUGACUACAUCUCCAAAUUGUCGGACAAGGUUGUAGUAUCCUACAUCACCAAUUCAUAGUCACCUAUCUAUCAUCACCUAUCUCUCAUUAUUUUAUUUCAUCACUCACCAACUAUUUCAUCUACCCAUGUUUUAUCCCAACAUAUUUGUAGAUAUAAAAUAAAUAUACAGUUUAAAUCAUUUAAAACAUGUAUAAAUCAUUCAUCCAGCAUAGACAACAAGUAUUCAAACAAUAUGCACACAUAGCACGUAAUUUAUAUUAAAAUACUUCAUAUCUAUGUGUAAGAUGAAAGGGACUAUGCACUCACUUGAAAGGUGGUGAGUCGGCACUCGGACAGCACUUCGUUACUCUUAAAACAAUUAUCCCUUGACGAAACCUAGUAUCAUUACCACUAGAGUUUAGUCUAACGCUUGACGAGACUAAUUUAAUAGUCUAGCUAUUAUUACUAUUAUAUAAGCGUUAAAUAACACUCAAUAUAACUCAUAAUAAUAGCCUAAAUAAUUAUUUUAAGGUCCUAACAAUGUUACUAUAAUUAAAUAAAAUCUAUAUUAAAUAUACUAUAGGCGUAGCUCACUUACAGCGGGUUUUUAUUAAAAACCGGGCUUCGCUGGAGCAGCGUUUCCGAGCCGAAAGCUUUUCUUCUCGGAGCCGUCGGGCGCUCCGGGGCUUUCUUCUCGUGCUAGGGAGGUUCCGUAGACUUGGGAGGGGUUUAGGGAGGCUAGAGAGAAGUUAGAGAGAGAAAGAAAGGCUUAUGGUGUGAAGAAAAUAUGAGGAGUUCACCCUUGUAUUUAUAGGAAGUGUAUAGUAAAGUAGUCUCCAAGCUUCGUCCGUAACUUUUGCAUACGAGCUCCGUUUUUGUCUGUCUUUUUACUGUUGAGUUCCUAUUAAUGAGAUCUUCAACUUUCAUUUAGACCUCGUUGGCUAAUUCUCAUUCUAUCUCGGAUUUACAAAACUGUAUCAAAUUCGCCGCGCUCGAAAAGUAGGGACUAAGCUUCGUCCAUAACUUUCGCAUACGAGCUCCAUUUUUGUCUGUCUUUUUACCGUUGAGUUCCUAUUAAUGAGAUCUUCAACUCUCAUUUAGACCUCGUUGGCUAAUUCUCAUUCUAUCUCGUAUUUACAAAACUGUAUCGAAUUCGCCGCGCUCGAAAAGUAGGGACUAAGCUUCGUCCAUAACUUUUGCAUACGAGCUCUAUUAUCGACGUUCUUUAUAUCCACGCGUUGGUAUUUACGAGUACUACAACUUUCAUUUAGAUCCCGUCGGCUAAAAAUCGACCGAUCUAAAAUUCAGAUUUCGGGCUGUGCACUGCUAUGCUAAAUCUUAGAAAAAUCAUAACUUCCUCAUACGAAGUCAGAUUUGGGCGUUCUUUUUAUCGAUGUUCUUAGUUUAACAUAUUCUACGACUUUCGUUUAGAUCGCUAAGGCUAAAUCUCGCUCUAUCGUAAAUUCACUAUUUACGCUUCCCGGUAUCGUGCCGGUUCCGUCGCGAAACUUCAACGGGUCAUAACUUCUUCGUUAUAACUCGGUUUUCGGCGUUCUUUAUAUGUACGAAAACCUUGUAACAUACUCUACAACUUGAUUAAGAUUAUUUAUUCUAAAUAAUCUUUUGUCGAAAAGUCGUUUUCGACCCCUAUUGCCUCUAAUUUGACUAGCCCAGAUUUGCGGGCGUUACAAUUAUCUCCCCCUUAGGAUGAUUACGUCCCGGAAUCAUCAACGAAACAGGGUCGUAUAAUGACUCCAUACGUCAUCUCUUCAUCCUAGGUAAUAAUUAUAACUUCUACAUUCCUUCAAUUCUAUCUCUUAAACUCAUUGACUGUAAGAGUACUCGAUCGUGCACCUGCUCUCUACCUCAGGUUAGACUCCAAAUUAUGACCUUCAAGUCACAAUCUCGAUCCUUGCUGGAUACGGACUUGAGAUAAGUUCUUUUAUUACUACUAUAGAUCGAUGUGUCAUAUUCUAAUGACCUAUCAUCGUAUGUUGCAACACUUAGACUUAGGUCUCUUAGAGUUAAAUUCUAAAACAGACUAUGCCUUCCUUCAUGUUCUAAUGUGAUAUAAUCACACUUUAACAUUAGGCAUUUCUAGCCACCAACUUCUUUAACAACGAGUGCGAUACUUCUAUUGAUCGCUUUGAUUUCAACCGUUUGGUUUAAGUCGGACGCUACAUCAAACUUGGUUCUCUGAACCACACAACAUACUCAUCGUAGUCGGACUCGAUUCGAUAUGACCACUAGGGUCGGAAUAUCAACAAUCUUCUUAGUCAUUACCGAAACGAUGGUAACAACACACUUGAAUAAAACGAAAUCAAUUACUAGCUUCUUGGUAACCUUGUGACUUUCCCUGAUCCAAGUGUGAGUCCUGUGCUUCCGGUAGUAUAGGCCUCUACUACCAUUCACACCUACUCAUACUCGUCCCAAGUAUUGUCUCGCAGUUUCCCAAGUCACCAUGCAGCGAAUCAACUUAACACAUCAGAUAACGAAACAAAGGUUUUAUAUUAUUUCUUGAAAUGAUUACAUAGGUGUUCAAGUUCACCCUAGGCUAUGCCUCUAAUAGGCUACAUCAUACAAUACUAUGGCUACUGCAUAACUUGAUCUUCGGAUAUGAAGUCCUCAUCCUUGAUUCCUCGCACGGUUUUCUGCUUCGUCGAGGAUCAUGUGAAAUGCCCUUGGUUUCGGCGGUGCAUUUGGUCUUGCAGCUUCGUUUUUCUUUGGACAGUUCUUUGAAAUAUGCCCAUCAUUUCCACAUUCGUAGCACUUCUUGUUUUCGAAUGUACAAUCUCUGGAAUAGUGACCGGUCCUACCACACUUAUAGCACGUCACUUCACCAUCGCAUCUUCCGAAGUGUUUCUUCUUGCACUUCUCACACCACUUGGCUUCAUUCCUUCGGUCGUCCAGGUUAGACUUCGAGAACUUUCCCUUAUUAUCAGGUCUUGAGGAUCCUUCCGACUUCCUCUUCUCACCAACUUCAACUUUCUCCAGACCCUUUUCCCUUAUUUGGGUCUCAACAUUCUUGGCUGCCCAGAUGGCGGCUUUCAAAGUGGUUGCUUGUUUGACCAUUGGACCAAAGUCUGCUGGUAAUCCAUGGGCAAACUUAUUGACCUUGGAGAGUUCAGUUGGAACUAGAUAAGGAACAAGCUUCAUUUUCUCCGUAAAACUUGCAGCAUACUCGAUGACACUCAUCUUUCCCUUCUUUAGAUUCUGAAACUCGUUGUUGAUUUCCAGAAGAUCCUGUUCAGAGCAGUACUGCAUUUUUAGCUGCACCAGAAAAUCCUCCCAUGACAUCUUGUUCGCUUCUCCUUUGGGCAUCGAAUCAGCUAGUAGCUUCCACCAGCUUAGUACUCCAGAUUUCAACAGAGGAACCGCGAGAGCGGUCUUUUGCCUGUUGCUACACUCACAACUCUCAAACAUCGUCUCCAUCUCGGAGAUCCAGUUUAUGACUUCCACCGGCGUCGGGCUUCCAGAUAGACUCGGUGGUUUGGACGCCAUGAAAUCCUUGUAUUUGCAUCCACGUCCAUCAUUUCCUCCAUCCUGGUGGUUUUGCUUAACCAUUGGUGGGUUGGCUUGACCAACAGUCCCACUGUAGUUUCCCUCCUCAGUCUGCCCCUCGUUCAACUCGGGCCGUUCGAUCUGAAUGGUCGCUUCCUCUCGAUUUUGCUGGAGCAAACGCCUGGUUUCCUCCAUUUGACGAUCCAACAUCGCUUGGAUCAUCGCUUGCACUCCGGCCAUUGUGACUGGCUCAGCAGUGGCUUCCAUCACCGGUAUUUGCUCAAUCACUGGGGGUUGGUUUCUGUUCCCAUUUGCAUUUACGUUUCCGCUACGGGUUCUUACCAUCUUGAUCUAUACACCUAAUGAGGUGAAUCUAGACCUUUACUUAGGAUUGACGUUUAAAUCAUCCUUAUCACUCCGAAACGUUUACAUGCUAGUUCUAAUAUCGUAGUCGUACGUUUAGAAUCCUAAACACAUAAGGUUUCCAGAUCCGGUCGGCAACAGACCAUAGAUCCGAUCAAACUAUAGCAUAACAAAUCAUUUAGCACAUAAAAGCAAUUUAGGCAUCAUUCCUAAAAUAAGCUAGUGCUCACACCUCACAAUCAUCGCUUAGCAUUCUAAGUUUAAGUCUAGAAAUAAAUCCAUAUUCCUAGUUCGCUUAAACUAAUGCUCUGAUACCAACUGUGACAUCCCCAAAAUCACGGCCAGAAAAGACCGAUUUUGUUUAUGCUUUAUAAAAAUCAGAGUACUUCAUUUUAUAAAAAUGUUGCGGAAUUUGUUCCCAGAAAAACACGAUAAAUACGUUAUUAAAACAUUUUCGAAGAAACGUAUUUAUUUCAUUUUAAAACGUUUGGGAUGUCAUUGUUAAUACAGAAACAUAAGCAUAAACAGAACUUACAAUUAUUUACACUAGUGAUCUACAUCUCUUUAAAUCUCUCAGUGUAAUGUCACUUCAUAUCGUCACCUGUGAUGUAAAUAAACUGAGUGGGUCAGGUUGGGAAACCUGGUGAGUACAUAGGGUUUUCAACCCACAAUAAUAUAGUUAUUAUGUUUAAACAAUCAAACAAUCAACCCAAUUACCCAUCCCCGUUAUCUUCUUUUAGUCUUCCCUAAAGAUAUUAUCUCAAGGGUCAUCUCUUAUAUCAUAUUUACUUUUCAUCUCCUUACAUCGUAUUUCCUUAUAUGAUUGUUCUUACGAACUUUACCUAAGGAUCAUCGCCUACAUUGCAUAGACAAUACUAAUCCGGGGAUUACUCCCUCAAUAUGUGUCUAGCAAGAGUUAGGGUAUCAUCGCAUGAUUACGCAGCCACAACAUCGCCUGGACUUGUAAAUCAUGAUAAGGGUUAGUCUAUCAUCGCAUGAAUACGUAGCCACAACAUCGCCUGGACUCGUACUUCAUAAUAAGGGUUAGACUAUCAUCGCAUGAAUACGUAGUUACAACAUCGCCUGAACUCGUAAUUCAUCACCUACAGGUUGCUAGCCUGCUGGUGUUUCCACGGGGUUGUCUAUAAUAGUCCGUGGUCGCCAUCUAUACUCUGGUAGAUGACUACAUCUCCAAAUUGUCGGACAAGGUUGUAGUAUCCUACAUCACCAAUUCAUAGUCACCUAUCUAUCAUCACCUAUCUCUCAUUAUUUUAUUUCAUCACUCACCAACUAUUUCAUCUACCCAUGUUUUAUCCCAACAUAUUUGUAGAUAUAAAAUAAAUAUACAGUUUAAAUCAUUUAAAACAUGUAUAAAUCAUUCAUCCAGCAUAGACAACAAGUAUUCAAACAAUAUGCACACAUAGCACGUAAUUUAUAUUAAAAUACUUCAUAUCUAUGUGUAAGAUGAAAGGGACUAUGCACUCACCUGAGUAGGUGGUGACUCAGCACUCGGACAGCGCUUCGAUACUCUCAAAACGAUAUUCCUUCGAUAAAACCUAGUAUCGAUACCACUAGGGUUUAGUUUAACGAUAACCGCGACAAAUUAAUUAGUCCGAGUAUUAUUAAGCGUUAAUAAUACUCGAUAUAACUCAUAAUAAUAGCCCAAAUAAUUAUUUUAAGGACCUAAUAACAUUCCUAUAAUUAUUUGAAAGCUAUAUUAAAAAUUGCGUAAGCGUAGCACACUUACAGCGAAUUUUAUCGAAAACCGGAACUUAAUUGGAGCAGCGUUUCGAAACCGAAAAACUCCUUUUUCUCGGGACUCCGGGAGCCUCGGGGCUUCCCUAGGGUGCUAGGGAGGUUCCCUAGGGUUUGGGGAUGUUUACAACACUUAGAGAGAGAAAGAAGUUAGAGAGAGAGUGAAGAAAGGUGUGUAAAAUGAAGGAAAUUCGGCCCCCUUUUAUAGCCCUGCGAGGCCUCGGUACGCUGGGCGUACCUCGGACCUACGCGGGGCGUAGUCAUCGGAUAAGAGCUCCAGCGAGGUUCCAGCUGUCUCUCACUCGGAAUAGAUCAGGGCGAGGGUACGCGGCGCGUACUGGCUUCGGACGCGGGGCGUAAGCGAGGGCGACGUGUUCUUCAUCCGAGGCGAGAUCUGAUCAGCGAUGGACGGCCCACAAUGCGCCACGUCAUCAGCUCCUUAUCAGCCUUCGCAAAUUGCAUUCUCGACUUCUAAAAAUCAUAACUUUCGCAUAAGAGCUCCGUUUUCGACGUUCUUUAUAUCCACGCGAAGGUGGGAACGUACUCUAAAACUUUCGUUUAGACUUCGUCGGCUAAUUUUGGCUCGAUUUUAAAUUUUAUAUUAUUAACGGGCCGUGACACGAUUUGGUCCGUUAAAUCCUCAUAACUUCUUCAUCCGACAUCCGUUUUCGCCCAUCUUUUUCUCGUUACGCUACUCUCAACGAGAUCUUCGAUUCUCGUUUAGGUCGUGUCAGCUAAAAACCGCUCGAUCAAAUAUUCGAAUUUAGGGCUGUACACUGCUAGUCCGAAACUUCGAAAAAUCAUAACUUCUUCAUACGAAGUCAGAUUUGGACGUUCUUUUUAUCGAUGUUCUUAGUUUAACAUAUUCUACGACUUCCGUUUAGAUUGCUAAGGCUAAAUCUCGCUCUAUCAUAAAUUCAUUAUUUAUGCUCUCCGGUGCCGUGCCGGUUUUGCCGUAAGACUUCGACGGGCCAUAACUUCUUCGUUAUAACUCGGAUUUCGGCGUUCUUUAUAUGUACGGAAACCUCGUGACAUAUACUACAACUUGGUUAAGAUUAUUUAUUAUAAAUAAUCUUUUGUCGAAAAGUCGUUUUCGACCCCUAUUGCCGCUAAAUUGACUAGCCCGGAUUUGCGGGCGUUACAUACAGGGCAUAACUUUUGAGCCGAAAGCUCUUCUUCUUGGAGCCUUCUAGCGUUCUGGGACUCGCCUCUAGCACUUGGGAAGUGCUAGGGAAUCAGAGGGGCUAAGAAGGGUGUUUGAGAGAGAAAGAACGGGAAAUGUGUGAGAAAAAUGGAAUAUUUAUGCCUUUAUUUAUAGGCUGAGAAAUGGCUAAACACGGCGUGUUUCUGAGCCCUACACAACGUGUUGGGGUGCCAAGUGUCACCAUCUGGUGGCAAGGCAUGGGGAGAAAGCAAAGGUCAGGAUUCUGCCACGUGUCACUCGCAGAUUGCUCCAAAAACUAAUUAUCAUCUAAAAUUCGUAACUUUCACAUACGAGCUGCGUUUUUGACAUUCUUUAUAUCCACACAUAGGUAGCAACGAAAUCAACAACUUUUGUGUAGAUUCCGUCGGCUAAUUUUGACUUUAUUUUUAAAUUUAUAUUUUAACAACCUUAGAUAGUUAAAGUCCGUUAAAAAUUCAUAAAUUUGUCAUCCGAUGUCCGUUUUCGUCUUUCUUUAUAUCAUUGAGCUCAUAUUAACGAGAUAUUCAAUUCUCGUUUAGAUUGUGUCAGCUAAAAGUUGAUCGAUCUAAAACUCGUUUUCUGGGUUGCAUACUGUCACGCCAAAUCUUAGAAAUAUCAUAACUUCCUCUAACGAAGUCAGAUUUGGACGUUCUCUAUAUGCACGCUCUUGGUUUAACGUAUACUACAACUUUUUUUUAGAUCGCUAAGGCUAAAAAGUAUAUUAUCAGAAACUCACUUUUUACGAUACACAGCGUCGUACCGGUUUUGUCGCAAAACUUCGACGAUUCAUAACUUCUUCGUUAUAAGUCGGAUUUCAGCGUUCGUUAUAUCUCCUGAAUCCUUGUCACAACCACUUUAACUUUCUUCAUAGAUACUGGGUCUAUUUAUUAUUUUAUUUUUGAUGCAUAUUUUUAUUAUUAUUUUGUUAUAUCACUAUAAACACAUAUGUUGCACAUAAAUCACAUAAAUCACAUAAUACUCAAAUAUUUUUUCUUCAUUACUUCAAAAUAGGUUACAUUUAUUGACCCUAACUAUUACAUCAUAAUAUUAUUGCUUAGCCAGAAACGCGGCCGUUACAAUUAAUAAUUGAACAUGUUAUAUGAAAGUAACAAUGAAAGUGAGGAAAACUCAAGGAAGAAAACUCAAACCUUGAUCAAUUGAUGAAAUCAUGAUGUACAGUAAAAAGCACAAAUUGAAAGAUCUUUAACAAUUGUUGAAGAUGAAGAUUAGCAGAAAUCGACUAAACACUUGAACCUCUACCUUGGAUGAAAUCAAUGAUCACAAAGCUAAAAUCGAUAACAAUCUUGUAAUGAAUUGUUGAUGUCGAUAGAUGAACACAAACCUCAAUCACUCAAAUCGAACCACACAAAAGAUUGAUUAGCCUGAAUCGAAGAUUAAGGAAUGUUGAUUGAUUAGCGUGAAUUGGUAGAAAGAAUCGAAGCAGCUGGGUUUUGUGAUGACGUGAAGAUAAUCCUAACAUUAUGUAUCAGAUCCAAUGAUCUAAAAUUUAACCUAGUCACUAAUCUAUCCCUAAUUAACUAAUCUUUUAGAUUAAUUAGUGUUAAUCGCGUCUUCUUAUGAGCCACAAGAACAAUUUUGAUUAAAGGCUCACACUUGGUCCCCAUGUCUCACAAAAUAUAGUUGGUCUCAAAUGAACCUCUCUCUCUCUCUCUCUCCUUCUCUCUCUCUCUCUCUCUAUAUAUAUAUAUAUAUAUAUAUAUAUAUAUAUAUAUAUANNNNNNNNNNNNNNNNNNNNNNNNNNNNNNNNNNNNNNNNNNNNNNNNNNNNNNNNNNNNNNNNNNNNNNNNNNNNNNNNNNNNNNNNNNNNNNNNNNNNNNNNNNNNNNNNNNNNNNNNNNNNNNNNNNNNNNNNNNNNNNNNNNNNNNNNNNNNNNNNNNNNNNNNNNNNNNNNNNNNNNNNNNNNNNNNNNNNNNNNNNNNNNNNNNNNNNNNNNNNNNNNNNNNNNNNNNNNNNNNNNNNNNNNNNNNNNNNNNNNNNNNNNNNNNNNNNNNNNNNNNNNNNNNNNNNNNNNNNNNNNNNNNNNNNNNNNNNNNNNNNNNNNNNNNNNNNNNNNNNNNNNNNNNNNNNNNNNNNNNNNNNNNNNNNNNNNNNNNNNNNNNNNNNNNNNNNNNNNNNNNNNNNNNNNNNNNNNNNNNNNNNNNNNNNNNNNNNNNNNNNNNNNNNNNNNNNNNNNNNNNNNNNNNNNNNNNNNNNNNNNNNNNNNNNNNNNNNNNNNNNNNNNNNNNNNNNNNNNNNNNNNNNNNNNNNNNNNNNNNNNNNNNNNNNNNNNNNNNNNNNNNNNNNNNNNNNNNNNNNNNNNNNNNUAUAUAUAUAUAUAUAUAUAGCUAGGUUCAUGUGUUUCUUACAUUUAUUGUGUGGUAGAAUGCACCAAUAGGAAUUUAGUAAAUUAAAUAAUUAUUUAAUUAAAUAAAGAUAGAUAUUAAAUUAUUUCCAUAAUUAUAUGUAUAUUAAAUGAUAUUCAUAAUUAUAAUUUUUUUUAUGGAAGCUAAUUAAAUUCAUCAUUAAUAUCAACAAUAACAUUCUUUCAAAAUGAAUUCACAUCUAGGUUUCAGUAUAAGUUCAUGUUUUUUUUCAUAGACUCACUCACUUAAAAUACAACAAAAUUGCAUGAAAUAUGAAGAACGAUAAUGUAUUCUACUAGAAUACACUCUCAUUCUGUUAGAAUAUACUUUCAUUAUUCUAGAAUAAACUUUUAUUCUACUAGAAUACAUUAUCGUUCUCUAUGUUGUAGACAACUUUGUUGUUAUUUAAAGUGAGUGGAUUACAAAACAAAAUACGAACUCAUACAUGAAAAACUAGAUGCAAAUUUAUUCCGAAAGAAUAUUAUUGUUGAUAUUAAUGACGAAUUUAAUUAGUUUCCAUAAAAAAGAAUUAUAACCAUGAAAAUAAUUUAAUAUACAUAUAAUUAUGAAAAUCAUUUAAUUUAAUAAUUAUUUAUUUGAUUAAAUAAUUAUUUAUUUUUUACUAAAUUCUUGUUGGUGUANUCGCACAUAAAAGUGACAAGUGUAGAUGGAAAGUAGAUAUUGUUAAUUAUUAUUAUGAUAAUAUAAUACUAGGUUAUAACCCGUGGAAAACACGGUUAUAAAAUUAAUUAAAAUUUCAUAUUAAAAAAUUAAAUUUAUUAAUUAAUUAUUUUAAAUAAAUUAUUACUUAAGAGAUAUUUUUUUAGUUAUAUAAAAUUAUAAUUGUUGAUUUAAGUAAUUACUUGAUGUUAUAUCACCUUAUAAUCUGUAUUAAUUUUAUUUUAUUUUUCAAUCUAAUGUUAUGAAUUUAAUAUAAUUAGAAUGAGAAAAUUUAAAAUUUGAAAUUAAAAAUGAAGAAUCAAUUAUUAAUCUCUAAAUAUUAUUAAAAGAGAAACUUUAUGACAUCAUCUUAAACAAUCUAGGCAUUUGAUUGUAUUUUAAUCUUAUGUUUUCUACCUUUAGAUUAAAUUGCUGACAGCAUCCCCCCUCCCAAAUAGAAUGUAUUUAACUUCAAUAGAAGCUUUCCAAUUGUCAAACAAAAUUAACUUAAAUCCGUUGAAAUUGAAUGUAUAUAAUUCUAAUAAAAUCAUCCCAUAUUUUAAAUCUUGAAUUUCCGGUUAUAAAGGUUUUAAUAUGGUCAACUUUAAAAACAUAUUAAUAACAAACCAUUUCAAUUAAUGCAUUAAUAUCAACCGUUAAUAUAAAUAUGUUUAUAUUAGUAAAUCAUUAAUGAAAAAUCCAUUUUUAUUUGGAAACCAUCGAUACCAAAAAAUCAGAUUCAAAUUAAUAUAAAAUCCAUUUUUAUUAGGAAUCCACAACUCACAUUUAUUUCUAAUCGUUGUUUUUCUUCAAACCUUCUCCUACAACAUUAUUCUUGUUGUUUAUAACAUUCAUCAUAAUUCUCUACUUCAAACAUUUGUUGUUGUGUAGUAGAAGGUCAGUACAUUCUUUCGCUUUUUAUAUUUUUUUCGAUUAUUUUUUUGUUCCUAUAUCAAAUAUAUGUAUUCAUAUAUUUUGAUUUUCUUUGUCACAAAUUACAUGAAAUCGGUUUAACUAUUUUUCUGAAACUUUUCAAAUAAACAAGAAAAUAUAUUAUGUACCUUUAACAAAACAGAAAUUAACUAUAAUUGGAAUUGAUACUAAUUAGGAAAAUGUUAUUUUUAUAUAUCAUAGAUGAUUAUUAUUUUUUUAAUUAUUAUACCAUAAGAAUCCGGUUAAUUUUGAUAUGAUUUUAAAAUAUUAUGGUAUGAUCCUAUUAUAAUUUUAGAUUGAUUUAGUAGGAAAUAAUAUAUAAUCUAUUUAUUCACCCUUCGAAAUUAAGUAUGGAAACAAUUUUGUUGACAACUAUAAUAGUUUUCAGUACUCUUUAUAAAUCAUACCUCUUUAUAGAUAAACACAUUGUAUAUGUACGUUCUAUUUCAUAUAAAAUUUAUUUAUAAUUCUAAUUGGUUUUCCUUUCAUUUUACACCCAUGGUACAAACCAAUCGUGACGAGAUCGUCUUUGAUAAGGUUGUUGACAUCGAUGCAUCCAAGGAAACCUGAAACAUUCGUGUUCAAGUACUCUUGCUUUGGAAGCAAACUUAAAAAACAACCCAAAUAUGUUCAGCAGCUUGGACACGAUUUUAAUUGACGAGUAGGUACAAUUUUUUUCUUUUUAUUAUUAAGUUUCUUUUAAUUUAUAAAAUUUUAAACUUAACCAAUUUUUUUUUCACUAACAUGACACUAAAAUACAAGCAACAAUAAAAAAAUCUCAUUAGUUCGUUUGAGGCCCUCUUUGUUGAAGGAUCAGUAAGGGAAAUUAGUAGUUUUUGUAUGACCAUAAAUGAAGAAGAUUACAUGCUGGUUGAUCAUAAGCAGAAGAAUAAUUUCUACAAAACAACCAAAGUUCGUAUAUCAAAUGAUUUUACUGUUAUGGUGGAUCCUUAUAAUUUUUCGACUUUCCAAUAUUUUAUAGCGAGGAAUCUCGACACUCGUGUUGCAUUUGGUAAGAUUUUAUUUUAACAUUCUACCUUAUCUACACGCAAGUAUUUAUUGUAUUACACAUCUAUAAUACAAAAAUCGUUUAUUUUUUUGUUCCAGAUUUUCUUGGUCAGGUUGUGUCGACUAAUCCCAUGAAAAUGAUUAUUGAAAAUUCAAGGGAGAAACGGUUGAUGAACCUGGUUGAUUAGGAUCUAAGUUAAGUAUAUGUGUUUAAAACAUUUUAUUUUCUAAAAUAUUUUUCUACAUGAUACCAUAAAACAUGUUGUUUGCAUGAAAAUUACAUGUUCAUCUACACUUCAAUGUACAUGUUUAUUUUAGUAUUACUUAAAACAUUUCGAAUCUGCUAAUUAUAGAAUUUACCUUUUUUCAUACAUGAAAUAAUUCGUUGAUCAUUAUCAAAGGGUCAAUUUAUGAUCUUCUCACUAACAAAUUGGUCAAAUGUGGUUAGAACUCUUUCACACAUUUUUUAUCACAUGUCUUCAUACUUUUAAGUUUUAAAUUUUCAUCUUCAAAUUCCAUUUUUUAGUUACAUACGUUCAUUGAUUUUUUUUGUUUAACAUACCAACCUACUAUGUUUUAUCUUUAUAUUGUAACAAUAAAAUUUAUAAAUUUACACAACAAUAUACAUAUUUCGAAUUUUGUCAUAGUAUCAUACUUUACAAAAUACAUUUCCAUCCAAAAUUAUUUUCGUCGGUAAUUUCAUUCAUAAUUUCACCCAAUUUAAAUUUGUAUUUUCUUUAUAUAAAUUUUUUUAAUGAUCUCGAUUUUUUCCCUCCAAAAGUAUAUCAAACAUUUAUGUCUUAGAUAAUGUUGCCUCCUUAUAAUUAUUACUUUCCAAGAUGUAUUCGUUUAAUGAGGAAUUUAAUUUAGUGAAGGAAGUAAUGUUAAUUCAAACAAGGUAUAUAUUCCAUAAUUAUUACACGAGUUUAUUAAAAAAAUAUCAAGAUGUAAACAUUAAGCAUUUUUAAAAUGAAAUUUCAUAAUACAUACAAACGAUGGUGUUGUAAAAUUAAAAUAUAAAAUUAAAUAGACUGAAAAAAAGCUAUUAAAAGAGUCGAUCUUGAAAAUAAUAUAGUUAUGAAAAAUUAUGAAGUAAGAUAAAAUUAUAAGAUAUUAUGAGAGUUGUAAGUACAAUUCGUAAAAGUGUUACGGUUAUUAGAAAAAAAUAAGAUUGUUAAGAUCAGUAAAAAUACAAUAUAUAAACUAAAUUGUCACAAUAGUAAUGAAAUGUCAUUAUUUGAUAUGUUAUAUAAUUGAAAGAUAUACCAAAUUACAUUGAUGAUAUACUAAAAUUAUUCAACGUUGCGCGAAGACUAAUGCAAAGUUCCUGCGAACCCCAAAAAAAUAAGAACAAAUAUAAAAGCUAGCACGUAUAUUUAUAAUUAAUUUAAAAUAAACCAAUCAUGAUUUGGAAAAGAAUUUUCAUUCAUGAUAUAUUAAAAUCAAAUUCAUAUAACAUUUAACAUUCUAUAAAUUAUACUUUAUGACUUUAUUUGAAUAAAUGAAAUAGUAAAUAUUUAAUGGAGUGGACAAAAUGGUAUAUUGUUUGUCAAUAUGGGCUUAAAUUAAGUAACCUUAUUACGGAAGGAACGUUUAAUUAGAAUACUUAUGCAUAUAUAACAAUAUCAUAACCAUAUGUGACGAGGAAAAUCUUUCAACUAAUAAAGCAAAAAUGGUAUAUAUAAAAAGGUUAAUGAUUAUAGAUAUUUAUCGAUUUCAAUGUAUCUUCUACACAUUUCAAUAAAACCAAUAUCCAUAAUUUUUUUAUAUAAUUAUUAUGCAAUAUCUAUAGACAGUUGUAUGUUUUUAUACGUUUUCCGCGUUGAACGCGGGUUAUAAUCUAGUUUAAUAUAAUUAGAGUGAAAUAUUUAAAAUUUAAAAUAUAAAAUGGAUAAUCAAUUAUUAAUUUAAUGUUAUUAUAGUGGAAAUUUAAAAUUUGAAAUUCGAAUUGUAUAAUUAAUAGGUUGACAAAUGACAUAAUUGGUGAUAUAUAACAUUAAUUAGGAGCUCCAAUUAUACGACACUUGUCAAUAUGAGAUCAAACCUAUUCUUUUAUGAGCUACUUUUUGGUUUGUCAAACAUGAUGACUUAAAAAAGAUCGUAAAAUAAACUAGUUUAUCAACUAGCUGCGACGUGUCAAACAUAGCCUUAAUCAUUAAAACUUUGAUUAUUAUUAGGUUUUAUUAUUAUUAUUAUUAUUAUUAUUAUUAUUAUUAUUGUUAUUAUUAUUAUUAUUUAAAAAUGACAAAAAUUGUUAUGUAACCUUUUAAUUGAAACCAUGAUUGUGGUGAAUAGUCGACUAAAAUGAGAAGAUGAAAUGAUAAAACCAUCUUACUAGAUACUAAUAUAAAUUGUAAAAGAGAUAGAUGAAAUGAUAAAAAUAUUAAAAAUAGGGACCUAACGUGGAUAAAAUUAAAACAUUAUUACCCCUUCUUUAAACGGUUAUAACAACCAUAUUGGUAUAAUAUGUACAAAAAAGACCUUAAAGACCUAGUGUGGACAAAAUUAAAACUUUAUUAUCCUUUUUAAAUGGUUAUAACAACCAUGAUGAUGUAAUAUGUACAAAAAAACCUUAACGACCUAAUAUGGACAAAAUUAAAAUUUUAUUACCCUCUUAAGUCAUUAACCCAUGUGUAGAUGGGUAAUAUUGGUACUCGUUGAUUUGGUUGACUAAAUCUAAGGGAUCUAAAUCCAUCAUUUAUUCCAUCCACAUACAUACUCGAAUAGGACAAAACUUUCACUUGUAAAUUAAGAAACUAUGUUUCUAACAAAAGGAUCGACAUUUUCCACCGACCAAAGAAAAUCUACAAGAUUACACAUCUUGCUUCCUAAAAUAAGAAAUAUUCAGUGAUCAUUAUAAUUAAACCAACUUUGAUGUAAUGCUACCCUAAAACUUGAUAGUUUCUAGUUGUUCAAGCUAUGCAGUCAAGCUUCUUAUCUAGCUAGCCUAUACCCAAAAGCUAAGGAUCCAGAAUUUGGGGGGCUUAAAAAGAUACCUUUAAAUUUAGAAAAACAAGUUUGAAUCAUGACACAAUCUUCAUGUAUUAAGAAGACAAGAAGAAGUUGAUAGUCAAGCAAAUUGGAAAAAGACAUAUGAUACAUACCCUUUAUGCGAUCCAUGUGGUUUUAUUGCAUAGUAGCGGUGUGAAGACGACAGUUGAUUAAAAACCGGAAUGAAGACAAUUUCAUCAUAAGAAACUUGUUGAUAUUGACCGGACCAUGUUGUGUAGCGUGCAGUCAAUAUUUUGUUCUGAGGAAAGGGCAACAUUGCAAGAAACGAAGAGCUUGAGGAUUGCUCUUAUAGUGAGAAAGUAAUCAUGUCACAUACAUAGUGAGACUUAUUUGUAGUGUUUGAAAUUGGUUGUGUUGAUGUGAUUUUUUAUAUACAAGGAAGAUUUGAUACUCAAGUGAUCAAGGAUAUGCUAAAAU